This 657-nucleotide ribosomal RNA is filed under the name Thecaphora haumanii. RNAcentral describes it as "LSU rRNA". It matches the Rfam family "Eukaryotic large subunit ribosomal RNA", at positions 37 to 662 of the family's 3401-position model. The record is from RNAcentral. Lineage: Eukaryota; Fungi; Basidiomycota; Ustilaginomycetes; Urocystidales; Glomosporiaceae.
UGCAUAUCAAUAAGCGGAGGAAAAGAAACUAACAAGGAUUCCCCUAGUAACGGCGAGUGAAGAGGGAAAAGCCCAAGUUUGAAAGCUGGCACCUUCGGUGUCCGCAUUGUAAACUCGAGAAGCGUUAUCCGCGCCGGACCAGGCCUUAAGUCCAUUGGAAUAUGGCACCAUAGAGGGUGAUAGUCCCUUUCAUGGUCUGGAACCCCCGGAGCUUUGUGAUGCGCUCUCCAAGAGUCGAGUUGUUUGGGAAUGCAGCUCAAAAUGGGUGGUAAAUGCCAUCUAAGGCUAAAUAUAGAGGAGAGACCGAUAGCGAACAAGUACCGUGAGGGAAAGAUGAAAAGAACUUUGGAAAGAGAGUUAAACAGUACGUGAAAUUGCCGGAAGGGAAGGACAGGGAGUCAGUUAUGGACUUUGCGGAUUCAGCUUGACCUUUCGAGGUUGGGUUUAUUUCUGCUUGGACCAGGCCAGCAUCGAUUUUGGCUGUCGGAGAUGAGUAGGGGGAACGUAGCAUUUUCUUCGGAACAAUGUGUUUAUAGACCUUUACUUGGUACGACGGCUGGGAUCGAGGAACGCAGUGCACCCUUCGGGGCGGGCCUUCGGGCACCUUUGCACAUAGGAUGUUGGCUUAAUGGCUCUCUGCCACCCGUCUUGAAACAC